GGUCCCAAGGGUUUGGCUGUUCGCCAAUUAAAGCGGUACGCGAGCUGGGUUCAGAACGUCGUGAGACAGUUCGGUCCCUAUCUGUUGCGGGCGUAGGAUAUUUAAGGGGAGCUGUCCCUAGUACGAGAGGACCGGGACGGACGAACCUCUGGUGUUCCAGUUGUCGUGCCAACGGCAUCGCUGGGUAGCCACGUUCGGAAGGGAUAACCGCUGAAAGCAUCUAAGUGGGAAGCCCACCUCAAGAUAAGAUAUCCCUCUCGAUGGAGACAUCGAGACUGAAGACCCCUCAGAGACUAUGAGGUUGAUAGGUCAGAGGUGUAAGUACGGUAACGUAUUUAGCUAACUGAUACUAAUUGGUCGUGAGGCUUGGCCAU
RNAcentral lists this ribosomal RNA (374 nucleotides) under Deltaproteobacteria bacterium. RNAcentral's name for it is "partial 23S ribosomal RNA". It matches the Rfam family "Bacterial large subunit ribosomal RNA", at positions 2561 to 2925 of the family's 2925-position model. The record is from RNAcentral. Lineage: Bacteria; Pseudomonadati; Myxococcota; Myxococcia.